This 99-nucleotide non-coding RNA is filed under the name Sedimentitalea nanhaiensis. RNAcentral's name for it is "TPP sequence". It matches the Rfam family "TPP riboswitch aptamer (THI element)". Rfam says of the family: Vitamin B(1) in its active form thiamin pyrophosphate (TPP) is an essential coenzyme that is synthesised by coupling of pyrimidine and thiazole moieties in bacteria. The previously detected thiamin-regulatory element, thi box was extended, resulting in a new, highly conserved RNA secondary structure, the THI element, which is widely distributed in eubacteria and also occurs in some archaea. Analysis of operon structures identified a large number of new candidate thiamin-regulated genes, mostly transporters, in various prokaryotic organisms. Lineage: Bacteria; Pseudomonadati; Pseudomonadota; Alphaproteobacteria; Rhodobacterales; Paracoccaceae. The record is from Rfam by way of RNAcentral.
CGUCCCACCUCGGGGAGCCUUGAUUGGCUGAGACGCUGACGCGGACCCGUUGAACCUGACCCGGCUAACACCGGCGUAGGGAAGGUCUGGAUCAGCCUC